RNAcentral lists this ribosomal RNA (842 nucleotides) under Dorcadion pedestre pedestre. Its description in RNAcentral is "partial large subunit ribosomal RNA". It matches the Rfam family "Eukaryotic large subunit ribosomal RNA", at positions 42 to 652 of the family's 3401-position model. The record is from RNAcentral. Lineage: Eukaryota; Metazoa; Arthropoda; Insecta; Coleoptera; Cerambycidae.
AUUACUAAGCGGAGGAAAAGAAACUAACUAGGAUUCCCUCAGUAGCUGCGAGCGAACAGGGAAGAGCCCAGCACCGAAUCCCGCGGCCGAUACCGGGCGCCGGGAAAUGUGGUGUUAGGGAGGAUCCGUUUAUCCCGAGGUCGUGCGGUGCGUCCAAGUCCUUCUUGAACGGGGCCACAGCCCAUAGAGGGUGCCAGGCCCGUAGCGACCGCUGCCGAUCGCGGGAGGAUCUCUCCUCAGAGUCGGGUUGCUUGAGAGUGCAGCCCUAAGUGGGUGGUAAACUCCAUCUAAGGCUAAAUAUGACCACGAGACCGAUAGCGAACAAGUACCGUGAGGGAAAGUUGAAAAGCACUUUGAAGAGAGAGUUCAAGAGUACGUGAAACCGUUCAGGGGUAAACCUGAGAAACCCGAAAGGUCGAAAGGGGAAAUUCAUUCGCGUCUCGACCGUCGGAGCGGAGCGUUCGUGCGACGGACGGCGUACGCGUCGUCCGCGCCUUUCGUUCCGCGAUCCGGCGUCGAACGCGUGCACUUUUCCCCUAGUAGGACGUCGCGAUCCGUUGGGUGUCGGUCUAAGGCUCGCGGUGGAGCCCGAGCGUGCGUCUUCGGGCGUUCGCGCUCGGACCCGCGGUGUCCCGGCCGACCCGCUCGACGGUAUACAGAUGGCGCGGGGCCGCAAAUUCAAUUUGCGUUCGGCCCGCGGCAAGCGCGUACGGUGUUGACGGCGAUCGGACCUGGUGCCGAUCCCGUCCCCGGACGACUGUUGGCCGCGGUGCUCUCGAACAGACCUCGUUCUCGAAACGCCGAUCUGCGACGCUAUAGCUUUGGGUACUUUCAGGACCCGU